GAGAGCCACCUGCAGACGGAUGAAUGUGGUUGGCACAAACUCAGAAGCCUCAUGUAGGGCUUUCAGCUCCAAGCUGGAAGGGGAGCCUGGCCACAGUGUCUGCAAAGGUUGCUACCUUCUCCUGCCCCAGGCCACGUCCCCUCAGCCUCCAGAGACUCUCAUCCAUCAUCUAACACAUCAGUGUCCCAUACCCGGCUCCCUCCCCAUCUCUUGAUUUCCUUUUUUGCUGUUUUAUUUGACUCGGAAUCGCAUGUAGCCCAGGCUAGCUUUAGACUCCCUAGAUAGCCCAGACUGGCCCUGAACCCGUGUCUCUCCUGACCCAGUCCCACAAGUGCUGGAAUUCAGGCAAGACCCACCUCACCCACUGCUUUCUGUUUCUUUCUUUCCUCCUGCUUGUUUGUUUGUUUGUUUGUUUGUUUGUUUGUUUUGGGAAAAGGAUCCCAUAACACAGACCUUGCUGUGUUCACUGUUACAGACAAUUUUCAGUCUCCUGCCUCAGCUUCCUGGGAGCUGAGAUGACAGCCAUGUACACCAUGACUACUCACUGUCCCCUCUAAAUUUUUCUGUGGGCUGUACAUAGUGUUUCAACAUCCUUCAGUCGGUGCGUUUUAACCCUUGGGCCUGUGGUUUGGCCUCUGUCAACCCCUGUGACUUCUCUUCCAUAAGCCUUCUGCCAACCACACACACAUACCCUCCAGCUAUUUGUCCCUAGAGUUUGCUCUGCCUGGACACUUCUCUUUCCCAUGUCAUUGAUUUAUCAAGGCUUGAAGUAGCCAUUACCACAUUAGACGGACUUCCCCCUCUCCCCAGCUUCCUCUCAUCCCAUGAGUGUGUAACGAUGGAUAUCGAUAACUUUCCCUCUCUGAACUGAGAGCUCAGUGAGGCGCACACCACACAUAUACCAGCAGAAACAUAGCCUGGCAUAUAGCAGGCACUCAAUAAAUACUCGUGGACUG
Molecule: long non-coding RNA, 956 nt
Filed under: Mus musculus (house mouse)
Lineage: Eukaryota; Metazoa; Chordata; Mammalia; Rodentia; Muridae
Description: long non-coding RNA chr7:43471057-43472013
Source: RNAcentral